AGUGAACGCUGGCGGUAGGCCUAACACAUGCAAGUCGAACGGCAGCACAGGAGAGCUUGCUCUCUGGGUGGCGAGUGGCGGACGGGUGAGGAAUACAUCGGAAUCUACUUUUUCGUGGGGGAUAACGUAGGGAAACUUACGCUAAUACCGCAUACGACCUACGGGUGAAAGCAGGGGACCUUCGGGCCUUGCGCGAUUGAAUGAGCCGAUGUCGGAUUAGCUAGUUGGCGGGGUAAAGGCCCACCAAGGCGACGAUCCGUAGCUGGUCUGAGAGGAUGAUCAGCCAAACUGGAACUGAGACACGAUCCAGACUCAUACGGGAGGCGGAAGUGGGGAAUAUUGAACAAUGGGCGCAAGCCUGAUCCAGCCAUACCGCGUGGGUGAAGAAGGCCUUCGGGUUGUAAAGCCCUUUUGCUGGGAAAGAAAUCCAGCUGGCUAAUACCCGGUUGGGAUGACGGUACCCAAAGAAUAAGCACCGGCUAACUUCGUGCCAGCCGCCGCCGUAA
Molecule: ribosomal RNA, 506 nt
Filed under: uncultured bacterium
Lineage: Bacteria
Description: partial 16S ribosomal RNA
Rfam family: Bacterial small subunit ribosomal RNA
Source: RNAcentral